AGAUGUGAGGGUCAUCUAUCACACCAUUGUUUUCUAGGAUGGAUUUGGCUGAUCUGGCUGGUUAGGCAAGGGUCCCUUUUCUCCCUCACUGCUCCACAUGCAUCCCUGGGGGAGCUGUGGGCUGCACAAAGAGCAUGAGCAUCCCUGAUAGAGAAGGACCAUUUCUCAGCCAACGACAUAUGAGUAGCAGUGUUCUUCAGACAUAACCUUAAAGAUAGCUCAGUUAUACCAGGUUGUUUCAAUAUUUCAUUUGUCCCAAGGAAAGGAUGCAAUAUUGAACAAAAUUGAAGGGUUCUAUAAAUAUACUCACCACCUU
This 316-nucleotide small nuclear RNA is filed under the name Octodon degus (degu). RNAcentral describes it as "7SK RNA (ENSODEG00000024701.1)". It matches the Rfam family "7SK RNA". Rfam says of the family: 7SK was discovered as an abundant small nuclear RNA in the mid-70s but a possible function has only recently been suggested. Two independent studies have found that 7SK RNA binds the CDK9/cyclin T complex (known as elongation factor P-TEFb). P-TEFb activates transcription by phosphorylating the C-terminal domain of RNA polymerase II. Lineage: Eukaryota; Metazoa; Chordata; Mammalia; Rodentia; Octodontidae. The record is from Rfam by way of RNAcentral.